RNAcentral lists this ribosomal RNA (107 nucleotides) under uncultured bacterium. RNAcentral's name for it is "partial 16S ribosomal RNA". It matches the Rfam family "Bacterial small subunit ribosomal RNA", at positions 1367 to 1482 of the family's 1533-position model. The record is from RNAcentral.
UACGUUCCCGGACCUUGCACACACCGCCCGUCAAGCCAUGGGAGCCGGAUGUACCUAAAGUCGGUAACCGCAAGGAGCUGCCUAGGGUAAAAUCGGUGACUGGGGCU